UACGUAGGGUGCAAGUGUUGUCCGGAAUUAUUGGGCGUAAAGAGCUCGUAGGCGGUUUGUCGCGUCUGCUGUGAAAACUCGGGGCUUAACUCCGGGCCUGCAGUGGGUACGGGCAGACUAGAGUGCGGUAGGGGAGACUGGAAUUCCUGGUGUAGCGGUGAAAUGCGCAGAUAUCAGGAGGAACACCGAUGGCGAAGGCAGCUCGCUGGGACGGUACUGACGCUGAGGCGCGAAAGCGUGGGGAGCAAACAGG
RNAcentral lists this ribosomal RNA (253 nucleotides) under uncultured bacterium. Its description in RNAcentral is "partial 16S ribosomal RNA". It matches the Rfam family "Bacterial small subunit ribosomal RNA", at positions 524 to 776 of the family's 1533-position model. The record is from RNAcentral.